AUUUUUUAAAAGGUAAACCUUCACCUUGAAGCAGCUUUCAACAUGGCAUGUUUUCCAAUUGCCCUUGCAUCAUUUUUUUUUUAAUCACUAGAGGAAACUGCUUAAAAACAGGAUUAACGACGGACAAACAAGAUUACUAUGGAUGUGAUUUUGAGGCUACAAAACAAUUUUGAACUCACACAAGACUAAACCACUGAGGCUGUCUUCAAAACAAAGACUCGUGUUUCAGGAGAGAGUUCCCCAGGGAGAAAAACUGUAACAAGAUAUGGGGAAUGCAGCUAAAGAGGUCAAAUAACUUGCUCAAGUUUACACAGUGACAACACUGGAAUUUGAACCCAGCAAGACUGACUUGUCACUGCCAUCCAAUACUAAUCCUCAUCAGCAUCAGGUUCGCAGGGUUGGAGCCCCUUUCUUGGAAGACCUUCUGUGGUAGGCUCUUCCCUAGUGGCCUCUUUAGGAACAAUGCCUCUGACCCCUGGCCACUAGCUGAAGUUCUGGUCCAAAACAGAUGAACACCCUCCCAAUGAUGUCCCAAGCAUUGCCACUUCCUGGAAACUCAUACUGCCAUGUUCCACUCAUCUGAUUGGAUUUCCGUGAUGUGGAUUCUUGCCUGGACUAGUAAUCAUACUAAGCUGUAACUACUUACCACUCAGUGUGAAAGCACAUGAGGCAUAUUGCUACUGAUCCUUACAAGAGUCUGCAUGAAGAGAGUGUAUCUCCCAUUUUAGAAGUAGCUCAGAGGAGUGCAAAUGAUGGCCCAAAACCACACGGAUAGAGCAUAGCAAAGUUAGCAUUCAAACUCAGGUCUGCUGACAUCACAGCCCAUAUUCAUUUCAUUGUUUCUAAGUUUGCUAGUCCCCAUGAAACACUCUCAGUUGAACCUCUGACCACUCCCCUUGGGGGCCAGCCUCAACCCCUGGUUAGUGGCCUAACCCUAGUCCCACCCACCACAGCUUCCUCUCCUUCCCCUCCUUCCCUCACCCUAGGCCUGCCAAGUCCACAUCCCACCUUGGGAUUGAGCUCGUCUGGGGUGUGAGCUUUAUUAAUCCAAAAUGUUCAAAAAACUUUCCAUAGACUAUGACUCAGAAUAUGUUUAAGCCAUCAUCCUCAGCAAACUAACACAGGAACAGAAAACCAAACACCUCAUGUUCUCACUCAUAAGUGGGAGUUGAACAAUGAGAACACAUGGACACAGGGAGGGGAACAACAUACACCGG
This 1217-nucleotide long non-coding RNA is filed under the name Homo sapiens (human). Its description in RNAcentral is "HSALNT0348835". Lineage: Eukaryota; Metazoa; Chordata; Mammalia; Primates; Hominidae. The record is from RNAcentral.